GUAGUCUCGCACAGAUGCAUAUCAAUAAGCGGAGGAAAAGAAACUAACAAGGAUUCCCCUAGUAACGGCGAGUGAAGCGGGAAGAGCUCAAAUUUGAAAUCUUAAAGGGUUUCCCUUUACGAAUUGUAGUUUAAAGAAGUGUUUUCUGUUGAGGUUUUGGUAAAAGUUCUUUGGAAUAGGACAUCAUAGAGGGUGAGAAUCCCGUAUUUGACCUUUACUUUCAACUUUGUGAUACACUUUCAAAGAGUCGGAUUGUUUGGGAAUGCAGUCCAAAAUGGGUGGUAAAUUUCAUCUAAAGCUAAAUAUUGGCGAGAGAUCGAUAGCGAACAAGUACCGUGAGGGAAAGAUGAAAAGAACUUUGAAAAGAGAGUUAAACAGUACGUGAAAUUGUCAAAAGGGAAGCGUUUGACACCAGUGUUGUUUUUCUGAAAAUCAAUUAAAGAACUGUUUAUGCUAAGUUGUUUAGACUUUAUCAGCUAACUGUUUAGUUUUGAGCUUUUCUUUAAUGCACUUUUCAGUUAACAAGUCAACAUCAAUUUCUUUUGCUGUAAAAAAGCUUGAGGAAGGUGGCUUGAGAUUCGUCUUAAGUGUUUAUAGCCUCUUGCCUAUGCAGUCGGAGAGAUUGAGGUCUGCAGCGUAGAUCCUUCGGGGCUAAAUGCAUUUGUGCUAAGUUAUAGCAUUUUAUAGACAACUUGUUGACUAUGAUUUGUCUUGUAGCUUACUCGCUUAUGUUAUUUUACCUACGCUUAGGAUGUUGAUCUGUAGUGCGUGCGC
This 774-nucleotide ribosomal RNA is filed under the name uncultured Neocallimastigales. Its description in RNAcentral is "partial large subunit ribosomal RNA". It matches the Rfam family "Eukaryotic large subunit ribosomal RNA", at positions 24 to 646 of the family's 3401-position model. The record is from RNAcentral. Lineage: Eukaryota; Fungi; Neocallimastigomycota; Neocallimastigomycetes; Neocallimastigales.